RNAcentral lists this transfer RNA (57 nucleotides) under Bos taurus (domestic cattle). It matches the Rfam family "tRNA", at positions 8 to 63 of the family's 71-position model. From Rfam's summary of the family: Transfer RNA (tRNA) molecules are approximately 80 nucleotides in length. Lineage: Eukaryota; Metazoa; Chordata; Mammalia; Artiodactyla; Bovidae. RNAcentral also lists the same sequence under 1 other name. The record is from Rfam by way of RNAcentral.
UGGCUCAGAGGUUAAAGCAUCUGCCUGGAAUGCGGGAAACCUGGGUUCGAUUCCUGG